UAGAGUUUGAUCCUGGCUCAGAUUGAACGCUGGCGGCAGGCUUAACACAUGCAAGUCGAACGGUAACAGGAAGCAGCUUGCUGCUUUGCUGACGAGUGGCGGACGGGUGAGUAAUGUCUGGGAAACUGCCUGAUGGAGGGGGAUAACUACUGGAAACGGUAGCUAAUACCGCAUAACGUCGCAAGACCAAAGUGGGGGACCUUCGGGCCUCAUGCCAUCAGAUGUGCCCAGAUGGGAUUAGCUAGUAGGUGGGGUAAUGGCUCACCUAGGCGACGAUCCCUAGCUGGUCUGAGAGGAUGACCAGCCACACUGGAACUGAGACACGGUCCAGACUCCUACGGGAGGCAGCAGUGGGGAAUAUUGCACAAUGGGCGCAAGCCUGAUGCAGCCAUGCCGCGUGUAUGAAGAAGGCCUUCGGGUUGUAAAGUACUUUCAGCGAGGAGGAAGGCAUCAGGGUUAAUAACCCUGGUGAUUGACGUUACUCGCAGAAGAAGCAUCGGCUAACUCCGUGCCAGCAGCCGCGGUAAUACGGAGGGUGCAAGCGUUAAUCGGAAUUACUGGGCGUAAAGCGCACGCAGGCGGUCUGUUAAGUCAGAUGUGAAAUCCCCGGGCUCAACCUGGGAACUGCAUUUGAAACUGGCAGGCUUGAGUCUCGUAGAGGGGGGGUAGAAUUCCAGGUGUAGCGGUGAAAUGCGUAGAGAUCUGGAGGAAUACCGGUGGCGAA
Molecule: ribosomal RNA, 724 nt
Filed under: uncultured bacterium
Lineage: Bacteria
Description: bacterial SSU rRNA
Rfam family: Bacterial small subunit ribosomal RNA
Source: RNAcentral